CUCGCACACUCCGCCUCGUUCUUUUCUCCUUGCGCGACCUCCACUUGCGCGAGUCACCACCAGCCCACGUCCACCAGCAGCUCGCCUCCUCUUCUCUCUCUCUGCUUGGUUCUCUACCACCACAAUCCUCCUUCUUUGCCGCAACCCACAGACUGCCGCCACCGUCCCUCUCUUCCACUCUGCUCGCCGCUAACUCUGCCCACUGCACCUUCAACACUGCCAACCUCCAGCUCAGCUCACCUGACCUCUGCUGCUGCUGCCAUCGCCGCAACUUCAAGCUCCAUCUUCACAGUCGCACCUCCCUCAGCUCAUCUCUCUCUCAUCCAGUCUUCGCGCAGCUCCUCCUCCCAGCCCAUAGCCGCAGCCGACUGCCUCCUGAAACCCACGGCAGUCCAGCUCUCUACCCCCAACCAGCUCAGCUCCACCGUCCGCCAGCUUGAGCUAGCUCUCGCUAGCUAGCGCGCCUCCACCUGCGCGCACCACACCAGCCGCAACCGAAGCUGCUGCCUCCCUCGCGCAAGCUUCACCACCUCUUGUCGCUGCUGCACCGUCUCUUCUCCCUCUCCUUGCGCGACUACCACACUCCACCUACACAGACAGCCAGCAAACACCACCUGCCAAUUUUUGACAGGUGAAGGUAUUGCUAUUUCUCCAUCGAUUAGUACUGUCCAGGAUCUGUAUUGCUGGAAUUUGCAUUUUUUUUUCUCUUGGGUCUUCUGAUGGAUAAAAGCAGGACGUGACUUGGGCAUUUUCUGGGGUUAAUUUUGGGUGGAAUUAAUUUUAUUUGCUGCUCCAUUUGCGGAUAUUUUCUGGUGUUCAUUACAUUGCUGAAUAGAGUUUGGGUUUUAACUACUUGAGGCUUUUAUUUCAUCUGUGGGGAUUAAAUUUGACGUCUCUUGUGCCAGUUCAUUUGUUUGAGAAUUGUUGGGGGUGAUUUGAGAGUUACUUGUCACUUGGCCCCGUUUUAAUUUCUGCUAUUUUGUGAUCCUGAUUGGUGUGUUUGGAUUUAGCAGUGCUUUGGGCGGGUCAUUUGAGUUGUUUCUUAUUUGUGGGUAGCUCCUUCCUGCAUUUGUUUGUUGAUUUGAAUGGUUAUUGGGGUUGGUUGAGUGUGUAAUUAACUGUCCAAUUGGAGACAGUUAUUGAGAUUUUGAGUGGUAUUGUGUCUAAUUGCUGAAAUUUGAUGAUUUAUUUAGACAUUAACACUGCUCAUAGUUUGUUCGAGUGAAAUUAGUUGGAUGUCCUUUGCCCGUUAAAUUUAAUUGUUUGGAAUUGUUUUCGGGCAUUGAUUGAAUUGGUGGGCAUUAAUUGGGUCUCAAAUUGACUAAUAGAGAGGCCACAGUGAUUAUUACAAUUGUUAUUGCUUUGAAUUUGUUGGUUCUAAAUUUUGUUGAGAAUUGUUGUCUGUUGUUGAUUUGAGUGACAUUUGGAGAAAUGGUGAAACCCAAAUCCUCUUCUAAGUCUAGAACACCCCGAAAAUAAAUACCUACUCGAGAAAAAUAAAUUUUCUGUGUAUAGUAGUGAGUAGGGUCGAAUCCACAGGGACUGGGAAAAAUUUGAUUCCUUUCAAGUUCGGGACACGGGGGAUUUUUAUCAGAAAUAAACUAAAAAUAAUUAAACAAUUUAACUAAAAAUAAUUAAAUAAUUUAACCAAAAAUAAAUAAUUAAUUAAUACAAUUGUAAAUAGCAAUUAAAUAAAUGAUAAAUAAAUUCUAGCCAAGGAUACAACUACGCAGACACAGUCCAUUCAUCCGAUCAUUGAUGCAAAGAAGGUUCACUUAAUUUUAUUAACAGGUUAGUUAUAGUCGCCGAUAAACUCUAACGACCAGCUUUUCCUUAAUUUAUUGAUAACCAAGGUACGACCGUUGAUUACCCCUAACCAGGAAAUACUCCUUGGUACGACCGUAGGAAUUAAUUUCCUAAUUGCAUUAAAAACUAGAAAAGCCUAACCCAAAUUAAUAACACGCUACGAGGGUUAUUUAAAUCAGAUUGCAUGUCCCCGUAGUAUGUGAAAAUACUAGUUGUCACUAAUAUUAAUCAACUAAACAAUUACGGAUUUAAUUGAUUAAUUUGACAAGAGAUUAAUAAGUCAAAUUGCACAUCGGGCCCUUGAUAUCCAAUUAACAAAAUAAUCCCAUGGAAAUUAAAAUAGAAAACAUGCAAAUAUUAAUAAAUUAAGGAACACGUAAAAUUAAUUAGAUCUCACAGAUAUUUGGGACUGCGUCUUCGCGUUGAUCCUUGACUAGAGGAGAAGAUUAGCCACGCCUCAUGAUAAAAUUCUCACGCAAUUUAAAUGGAAUCAAAUACAUAAAUAACUCUUGCUAGUAACUGAAAAUUGAAAAUUUGAUUCUCCGUAUCUAAUGAAAUCAUGAAUAGUUUCAUGAAGAACUAGUCUAAAGAAGAGAGGAAAGAAAAAUACAAAACAAACGAAUGAAGAGAUCACUUCACACAGCACAAACAUGAAGAAAAAUACUAUUUUAUGACUAAUACCUAUCUGCUCUGCGUAGAGAGAAACUAAUCUAAUGUCUUUAUAAUAGGGCAGUAGUCUGUGCUUUCUUAUUUUAUUUUAGCAGUAGUUUCCUAAGAGACUAGUGACGUGGAAGCUAAGUGGAAAAUUCAAUCAUACAAGCCAACACUUGAUAAUUGAGUAUAUUCCCACAAUAAGAAAGACUGUUCUAGGUGGUCCCGUUUGAUUUCUUAUUGCUAGGUGGAUUUCAGUAUAUCAAGUCUAAUUCUUCAUCAGGCGCAAUUCCGCGUAGGAAGCUAAGUGGAAAAGUUCAUCAAAGCAAACACCGUUGACUAAAUGAGUAUAUCUCCAAAUAGAAGAAAAACUUUCUAGUGGUCCCGCUUUGAUUUCUUUUGACUAGUGGAUUUCAUAUUCAAUUCAAUUUCUUUCAUCAGCAAUUCGUUUUCAGCAAUUCGUUGGUUUGCACAUUUGGGCUGAUGGUGGAAAGCUUUUAGACGUUUCAACCGUGUGGAGAAAUUUCUAAAAAAGGUCCCUUUAGCACUUUUCUGCUUAUUUUGAAAUUAUAUUCAAAUACCAAACUAUAGAAUAUAUAUUGAAAUUAAACAAUAUUUGGGCCAAGGAUAAAGAGAAAUUAACGAUAAAAUUAGCUAAGACUUGAAUACCUAGUCAUUCCCCACACUUAAAUAUGCUUGUCCUCAGUAUGGGAAACUACCUUCAGAUGCGAGUUUUCAAAAAGCUGGAGCUCAGGUGACAAAGUAUUGAAUGUUGAAUUGUGCAUAGCAUGGGGCACAAGAAUUGGGCGUUUUGCAGCACGAGGUGUUGAACUCAAGUGUGCGGCCUAAACCGGCACUGGUCUUGACAACUUCAGGGAGUUUGUGGCCUCUCUUUAAUUUAGCUGUUUAGAUUGUCAUCAGUUGAGGGACAGAUGGUGUGCUUUAUAGUGUGGGGGGAGAUUGAUUCUGAGUUGGAGGUUUCUUUAAAUUGUUGGAUGCUUUUCCUUAUUGUUGUCUUGAUGUAAUAAAUGUGGCAACUCAACGCUUCUUAUUGCUGGUUGUAUUUAUCCUAUGAAUUUUGUUUAGAUGGCAAGUAAAGCAUAUUUACUUUGGUGAAUAUAAUGAUUUAAUGACUUGGUGCAAAUUAGAUGGUUAAAUUGUUAGGCAAUAUAUAAUAUUUUACUAGCAAUUGUUGUGUGGAUGUGGGCAAUUGUUGAUUUGCUUAGUUCGUCCAUAUUAGGAGAUACGUGGGCCAUGAUCUUUAGAUAUUUGGUUUUCUGGUGUUAAUUGUGAUUAAUAAAGUGACUCUAGCUCUACCGCUAGUGCGUCACUCCAGUAACACGGUAGUCUUCACCACAAGUGUCGACUUUCGCGUCAAAAAGGGGCGAUAUCUAUUGAGUAGGUAGUCUGUAAGCUGAUGAAAAGUUGGAGUAACUGGUUCUUUUCAUUCUUAAAAAUAGUAGAGUUCACAUGUCAAAAGACUUGAAUAAGCUUGGGACUGAGCAUUUAUUGAAAAAAAAAAUUAAUUAUUAUAAAAAAAAAAAAAAGAGAAGAAAAUAAUGUGUAAGCUUAUGAUCAUGUUGGCCUGCCGAUCCUUGUUUUUCAAUGUUGAGAUUUUGAUUUUCAGUUGACCCAAUUGCUAACUUUUGCUAGUUUAAUAUUUUAAUUUCUUAGACGAGUUAGCCAUGAAUUGGACGAGUCUAUGAUUUCAAGGAGCUAACCGGGAGAAAUAUGUCUUGACACUUAGCCACUAAAACUUGAUUUUGGGAUAAGCGUAGCUUGGCAGUAAAUGAAAUGAGAGUUAGCCAUUGUUGAGUUUAGUGUUCCCAUACUUGAGGACAAGCAUGAUUUAAGUGUGGGGGGAAUUGAUAGGGUAUUAAUUGUUAGUAAUUUUAUCGUUAAUUUUCCUCUUUAUCCUUGCCAAAUAUUGUUUUAAUUGUCAAUAUAUAUUUAUAUUUGGUAUUUGGAUAUAAUUUCAGAAAGUGAAGCAGAAAAGUGCUAAAAGGGGACCUUCUUGAGAAGAUUUCUCCACACGUGAAAGCUUCUAAAAGCUUUCCACCAUCAGCCCAAAUUGUGCAAACCAACGGAAUUGCUGAUAAACGGAAUUGCUGAUGAAGAAUUGAAUUGAUAUGAUGAAAUCCACUAGCAAUAAGAAAUCAAAACGGGGACCACGUAGAAAGUUUG
RNAcentral lists this long non-coding RNA (4641 nucleotides) under Coffea arabica (coffee). RNAcentral describes it as "long non-coding RNA (CARA_LNC000672)". The record is from RNAcentral. Lineage: Eukaryota; Viridiplantae; Streptophyta; Magnoliopsida; Gentianales; Rubiaceae.